CUUAAUUUCCGCCUCUCCUUGAACUUAUCAGGUGAAGCAUGGAGAAUUAUCACCUGAAUCUCCAAUUCCUCUUGCUCUUACUGUGGAUCAUCAAUUCUGUGCCUUGGAAUAUAGAAAUGUGUUUUGAUAUUAACUUUUUGAACUGAGAUCUCUAUUGGAUGGGUUUUAUCAUUGAUUUUGGUGCUGAUUUAAGGGUCAAAGGUUCCUGGAGAUGAUUGCAUGUCUAGGUAUACUUCGAUCUUCUUCUCCUCACUUUAUGCUUAUUCAUCACUCUUACUCCCUUUUGUUGAUAGUUGUAGUGUGGAUGGAGAUACAGAGAUGCUCGAACCCACAAAACUAUUAGAUUACCUUUUGUGCCCAGGUGUCUUAGAUACUUAGACAUCAUUGACCUUUCUCCUUCUUAAGAGUCCUUUUUGAUGGUUAAAUUUGUAUAGGUUAGACAAAUUUGGUUAUAAGUGUUGGCCUCCUAGAUUAUAAAUAGAUGUUUGUAGUCUUUGGUAGUAUCUAUGGCCUUAAGCCUUCUCAUGAUUUUACUACUGAUAAUCUAAUGUAAGGGCACUGUAGUUUGUCACUAUUUAAGAUCUUCUUCCCCUGUAUUUCCAACUGCUAAAAUAAAGUUAUACUAAAAUUUUCUUUUCUAUUGCUGCA
Long non-coding RNA from Capsicum annuum, 648 nucleotides. RefSeq lists it as uncharacterized. The record is from RefSeq and is a predicted model, not a curated record. The transcript has 2 exons. NCBI's taxonomy places the organism in Eukaryota, Viridiplantae, Streptophyta, Magnoliopsida, Solanales, Solanaceae.